CAGCCUUUGACAUGGGGAUUAAGAAGAUGAGAGAUCAUUUUUGUCGGUUCGGCCGGAUCCCGCACAGGUGCUGCAUGGCUGUCGUCAGCUCGUGUCGUGAGAUGUUGGGUUAAGUCCCGCAACGAGCGCAACCCUCAUCGUUAGUUGCUAACAGGUUUGGCUGAGCACUCUAACGAAACUGCCGGUGACAAACCGGAGGAAGGUGGGGAUGACGUCAAGUCCUCAUGGCCCUUAUAGGCUGGGCUACACACGUACUACAAUGGUGGUGACAGUAGGUUGCGAAAGGGAAACCUGGAGCUAAUCCUCAAAAGCCAUCUCAGUUCAGAUUGUGCUCUGCAACUCGAGCACAUGAAGUCGGAAUCGCUAGUAAUCGUAGAUCAGCAUGCUACGGUGAAUACGUUCUCGGGUCUUGUACACACCG
Molecule: ribosomal RNA, 421 nt
Filed under: bacterium enrichment culture
Lineage: Bacteria
Description: bacterial SSU rRNA
Rfam family: Bacterial small subunit ribosomal RNA
Source: RNAcentral